AAUGAUCGUGUGCUGGAACCGAUCGCCUUUCCUGGCUCUCGCCUUCCUCCUGUUCUUUGGCUCGAUCGAGCUCUUAUACUUCUCUGCCUCGCUAGUCAAAUUCCGUGAGGGUGCCUGGUUCCCUCUCCUCCUCGCGCUCUUCCUGAUGAUUGUCAUGUGUGUUUGGCACUAUGCCUCAACAAAGAAAUAUGAGUUUGAUCUCCACAACAAGGUUCCCUUAGACUGGCUCCUCAGCCUCGGUGACACCCUUGGCGUCGCCCGUGUCCCUGGCAUCGGUCUUGUUUACACGGACCUCAUCUCUGGCAUCCCCUCUAACUUCUCACGUUUCGUCACAAACCUGCCAGCAUUCCACCGUAUCCUAGUCUUCGUCUGCAUCAAAUAUGUCCCGGUCCCUUUUGUGCCUUCUGCUGAAAGAUAUCUUGUGGG
Molecule: unclassified non-coding RNA, 426 nt
Filed under: Hevea brasiliensis (rubber tree)
Lineage: Eukaryota; Viridiplantae; Streptophyta; Magnoliopsida; Malpighiales; Euphorbiaceae
Source: RNAcentral